GAGUAACACGUAGCUAACGAACCCUCACGCUGGGGACAACUCCGGGAAACCGGAGCUAAUACCGAAUGAACUGCGAGAGUCUGCGGACUCUUUCGGUAAAGCCGUAAGGCGCGUGAGGAUCGGGCUGCGGCCGAUUAGCUUGAUGGUGGGGUAACGGCCUACCAUGGCGACAAUUGGUAGCUGGCCUGAGAGGAUGAUCAGCCACACUGGAACUGAAACACGGUCCAG
RNAcentral lists this ribosomal RNA (228 nucleotides) under uncultured bacterium. Its description in RNAcentral is "partial 16S ribosomal RNA". It matches the Rfam family "Bacterial small subunit ribosomal RNA", at positions 108 to 334 of the family's 1533-position model. The record is from RNAcentral.